GCAGUCGAGCGGAUGACGGGAGCUUGCUCCUUGAUUCAGCGGCGGACGGGUGAGUAAUGCCUAGGAAUCUGCCUGGUAGUGGGGGACAACGUUUCGAAAGGAACGCUAAUACCGCAUACGUCCUACGGGAGAAAGCAGGGGACCUUCGGGCCUUGCGCUAUCAGAUGAGCCUAGGUCGGAUUAGCUAGUUGGUGGGGUAAUGGCUCACCAAGGCGACGAUCCGUAACUGGUCUGAGAGGAUGAUCAGUCACACUGGAACUGAGACACGGUCCAGACUCCUACGGGAGGCAGCAGUGGGGAAUAUUGGACAAUGGGCGAAAGCCUGAUCCAGCCAUGCCGCGUGUGUGAAGAAGGUCUUCGGAUUGUAAAGCACUUUAAGUUGGGAGGAAGGGCAGUAAGCUAAUACCUUGCUGUUUUGACGUUACCGACAGAAUAAGCACCGGCUAACUCUGUGCCAGCAGCCGCGGUAAUACAGAGGGUGCAAGCGUUAAUCGGAAUUACUGGGCGUAAAGCGCGCGUAGGUGGUUUGUUAAGUUGGAUGUGAAAGCCCCGGGCUCAACCUGGGAACUGCAUCCAAAACUGGCAAGCUAGAGUACGGUAGAGGGUGGUGGAAUUUCCUGUGUAGCGGUGAAAUGCGUAGAUAUAGGAAGGAACACC
RNAcentral lists this ribosomal RNA (657 nucleotides) under Pseudomonas sp. SI44. Its description in RNAcentral is "bacterial SSU rRNA". It matches the Rfam family "Bacterial small subunit ribosomal RNA", at positions 57 to 710 of the family's 1533-position model. Lineage: Bacteria; Pseudomonadati; Pseudomonadota; Gammaproteobacteria; Pseudomonadales; Pseudomonadaceae. The record is from RNAcentral.